This 468-nucleotide ribosomal RNA is filed under the name uncultured bacterium. RNAcentral describes it as "partial 16S ribosomal RNA". It matches the Rfam family "Bacterial small subunit ribosomal RNA", at positions 28 to 507 of the family's 1533-position model. The record is from RNAcentral.
GACGAACGCUGGCGGCGUGCUUAACACAUGCAAGUCGAACGGAAAGGCCCUGCUUUUGUGGGGUGCUCGAGUGGCGAACGGGUGAGUAACACGUGAGUAACCUGCACUUGACUUUGGGAUAACUUCAGGAAACUGGGGCUAAUACCGGAUAGGAGCUCCUGCUGCGUGGUGGGGGUUGGAAAGUGUCGGCGGUUGGGGAUGGACUCGCGGCUUACCAGCUUGUUGGUGGGGUAGUGGCUUACCAAGGCUUUGACGGGUAGCCGGCCUGGGAGGGUGACCGGCCACAUUGGGACUGAGAGACGGCCCAGACGCCUACGGGAGGCAGCAGUGGGGAAUAUUGCACAAUGGGCGGAAGCCUGAUGCAGCAACGCCGCGUGCGGAAUGACGGCCUUCGGGUUGUAAACCGCUUUCGCCUGUGACGAAGCGUGAGUGACGGUAAUGGGUAAAGAAGCACCGGCUAACUACGUG